Molecule: ribosomal RNA, 229 nt
Filed under: uncultured bacterium
Lineage: Bacteria
Description: partial 16S ribosomal RNA
Rfam family: Bacterial small subunit ribosomal RNA
Source: RNAcentral
UACAGUGGCGUACGGGUGAGUAACACGUGGAUAAUCUACCUCUUAGUGGGGAAUAACUCUGGGAAACCGGAGCUAAUACCGCAUAAGCCUGGAAAGGGAAAGUCGCAAGACGCUGAGAGAGGAGUCCGCGGCCGAUUAGCUAGUUGGCAGGGUAACAGCCUACCAAGGCAUUGAUCGGUAGCCGGCCUGAGAGGGCACACGGCCACACUGGCACUGAAACACGGGCCAG